UACGUAGGUGGCAAGCGUUGUCCGGAUUUAUUGGGUUUAAAGGGCGCGUAGGCGGCCUUGUCAGUCAGACGUGAAAUCCCCAGGCUUAACUUGGGAACUGCGUCUGAUACUACAAGGCUGGAGUUCGGGAGAGGGAUGCAGAAUUCCAGGUGUAGCGGUGAAAUGCGUAGAUAUCUGGAGGAAUACCGGUGGCGAAGGCGGCAUCCUGGACCGAUAUUGACACUGAUGAGCGAAAGCUAGGGGAGCAAACGGG
Molecule: ribosomal RNA, 253 nt
Filed under: uncultured bacterium
Lineage: Bacteria
Description: partial 16S ribosomal RNA
Rfam family: Bacterial small subunit ribosomal RNA
Source: RNAcentral